AAGCGCAGGCUACCAUGCAAGUCGAACGGUGAGCACACAAGAGCUUGCUCUCGGGUGACGAGUGGCGGACGGGUGAGUAAUGUCUGGGAAACUGCCCGAUGGAGGGGGAUAACUACUGGAAACGGUAGCUAAUACCGCAUAAUGUCGCAAGACCAAAGAGGGGGACCUUCGGGCCUCUUGCCAUCGGAUGUGCCCAGAUGGGAUUAGCUAGUAGGUGGGGUAACGGCUCACCUAGGCGACGAUCCCUAGCUGGUCUGAGAGGAUGACCAGCCACACUGGAACUGAGACACGGUCCAGACUCCUACGGGAGGCAGCAGUGGGGAAUAUUGCACAAUGGGCGCAAGCCUGAUGCAGCCAUGCCGCGUGUAUGAAGAAGGCCUUCGGGUUGUAAAGUACUUUCAGCGAGGAGGAAGGCGUUGUGGUUAAUAACCACAGCGAUUGACGUUACUCGCAGAAGAAGCACCGGCUAACUCCGUGCCAGCAGCCGCGGUAAUACGGAGGGUGCAAGCGUUAAUCGGAAUUACUGGGCGUAAAGCGCACGCAGGCGGUCUGUCAAGUCGGAUGUGAAAUCCCCGGGCUCAACCUGGGAACUGCAUCCGAAACUGGCAGGCUAGAGUCUUGUAGAGGGGGGUAGAAUUCCAGGUGUAGCGGUGAAAUGCGUAUAGAUCUGGAGGAAUACCGGUGGCGAAAGCGGCCCCCUGGACAAAGACUGACGCUCAGGUGCGAAAGCGUGUGGAGCAAACAGGAUUAGAUACCCUGGUAGUCCACGCCGUAAACGAUGUCGACUUGGAGGUUGUGCCCUUGAGGCGUGGCUUCCGGAGCUAACACGUUAAGUCGACAGCCUGGGGAGUACGCCCGCAAGGUUAAAACUCAAAUGAAUUUACGGGG
RNAcentral lists this ribosomal RNA (888 nucleotides) under Citrobacter freundii. Its description in RNAcentral is "bacterial SSU rRNA". It matches the Rfam family "Bacterial small subunit ribosomal RNA", at positions 37 to 918 of the family's 1533-position model. Lineage: Bacteria; Pseudomonadati; Pseudomonadota; Gammaproteobacteria; Enterobacterales; Enterobacteriaceae. The record is from RNAcentral.